Molecule: ribosomal RNA, 590 nt
Filed under: uncultured Geobacter sp.
Lineage: Bacteria; Pseudomonadati; Thermodesulfobacteriota; Desulfuromonadia; Geobacterales; Geobacteraceae
Description: bacterial SSU rRNA
Rfam family: Bacterial small subunit ribosomal RNA
Source: RNAcentral
ACUCCUACGGGAGGCAGCAGUGAGGAAUAUUGCGCAAUGGGGGAAACCCUGACGCAGCAACGCCGCGUGGGUGAAGAAGGCCUUCGGGUCGUAAAGCCCUUUCGGACGGGACGAACGCUUCGCGGGGACAAACCGCGAAGUCUGACGGUACCGUAAGAAGAAGCACCGGCUAACUCCGUGCCAGCAGCCGCGGUAAUACGGAGGGUGCGAGCGUUGUUCGGAAUUACUGGGCGUAAAGCGCGUGUAGGCGGCCCUGUAAGUCAGAUGUGAAAGCCCUCGGCUUAACCGGGGAAGUGCAUCUGAAACUGCUUGGCUUGAGUACGGGAGAGGGAGGCGGAAUUCCCAGUGUAGAGGUGAAAUUCGUAGAUAUUGGGAGGAACACCGGUGGCGAAAGCGGCCUCCUGGACCGAUACUGACGCUGAGACGCGAAAGCGUGGGGAGCAAACAGGAUUAGAUACCCUGGUAGUCCACGCGGUAAACGAUGGGCACUAGGUGUGGGGGGUAUCCACUCCUCCCGUGCCGUAGCUAACGCAUUAAGUGCCCCGCCUGGGGAGUACGGCCGCAAGGUUAAAACUCAAAUGAAUUGACGA